UCAAGUAUUGUAUACACUUUGUAGUCACUUUUGUUUUGUCAGAAUUAUUUUCAUAUUGUGUAUUUUUGAUGAAGUUGGAGAUCUUAUCAUUUACUGAUGAAUGUGAUUAUAUAACUAUACUUUUGGUGUUGACUAAUGAGCCCAAUGCAUUGAAGAAAACAUAAAAUUGUUGUUAGUCAAGGCGUGUUAUUUUGGCAAUUUAGGAUAUGACAAACUGUUGCUUGUCUCCUGGAUGGUUACACAAAAGUAGAGGGUGUUAGCUUGUAUUGCAGAUGUGUUUAGGGCCUCAUUGGGCAAUUCUUGUUCUCAUAUUUGGGGAUAGCUGAUUAUGUUAUGUUGAGAAUUAAAACUGCAAAAUUUAAAGAAGUUCUGAGAUAGAACAUAUGUAGAAGGAGCAGGAUCUUGCCAAGGAAUGUGUGUUAGCCAUUAGUGGUGUAAGUGUGUGGCAUGAAGUUUCUCCUGCACUGCAUGUAUAAUUAAUUUGCACUAGUGGGAUAGGAGCAAAAGUUUUGUGGCUUAAGGAAUAUUUUUCCUGGUUUGCUUCAUUUGAAUGUAGGAUGCCUGGUCCAGUAGAUGUCCAUAUGUCUUCUAUCAAUACAGUGCUCCUUCAUGGCCAAGGAAGAAUGGCAAUCCUAACAAAUCUUAGGAUCUACAUGUUUUUAAAAAUUAAUUUUUGUUCUGAAAAUUAAAAAAAAAUGUUCCUUGACCGGAAAACAAUUUUAAUGUUAGGGCUGACUGCUUUAAAAAAAAAAAAAAUUCUGAAGACAAGUAUUCAAACAGCGCUAUUUUAAUCAUCAACUAGUGGAAAAAAAAUCUCUAGAUUCCAAAAACCUGUGAGGUUAAUUUUUUGAAAAAAUAACUUUCCACAAAAAAAGCAUGGAAAACAGUAAUAAAAAAUGGUACUUAAUUUCUGUUUUCACUUUUGGAUAAUUUUAUAUGUUACUUAAUUUCUGUUUUCACUUUUGGAUAAUUUUAUAUGUUGUUUAUUUCGGGUGGUGAGGGAUGGGGCAGGAUUGGGAUUGGGAGUUUGGGGAGGAAAUAGACUGAGGGGACAACAUUAAAUGAGGAAGAUUAUGUCACUUUUGAGGAAUACACAAUGUUUGUGUGAAAAAUAGAACAGAAGAAGA
RNAcentral lists this unclassified non-coding RNA (1127 nucleotides) under Hevea brasiliensis (rubber tree). The record is from RNAcentral. Lineage: Eukaryota; Viridiplantae; Streptophyta; Magnoliopsida; Malpighiales; Euphorbiaceae.